UACGGAAGGCAGCAGUGGGGGAAUAUUGGACAAUGGGCGAAAGCCUGAUCCAGCCAUGCCGCGUGUGUGAAGAAGGUCUUCGGAUUGUAAAGCACUUUUAAGUUGGGAGGAAGGGCAUUAACCUAAUACGUUAGUGUUUUGACGUUACCGACAGAAUAAGCACCGGCUAACUUCGUGCCAGCAGCCGCGGUAAUACGAAGGGUGCAAGCGUUAAUCGGAAUUACUGGGCGUAAAGCGCGCGUAGGUGGUUUGUUAAGUUGAAUGUGAAAGCCCCGGGCUCAACCUGGGAACUGCAUCCAAACUGGCAAGCUAGAGUAUGGCAGAGGGUGGUGGAAUUUUCCUGUGUAGCGGUGAAAUGCGUAGAUAUAGGAAGGACACCAGUGGCGAAGGCGACCACCUGGGGCUAAUACUGGACACGUGAGGUGCGAAAGCGUGGGGAGCGAAACAGGGAUUAGAUACC
This 460-nucleotide ribosomal RNA is filed under the name uncultured bacterium. RNAcentral's name for it is "bacterial SSU rRNA". It matches the Rfam family "Bacterial small subunit ribosomal RNA", at positions 340 to 786 of the family's 1533-position model. The record is from RNAcentral.